UUCAGUUUCUCAGACUUAGCCCUAGCUUUAGGGCAAUCCCAUCACAAAUCGAUUUCGCAGACGCGUUGUUUCGCUCCACGGCCGCAUGUAGGUCUAUGGUCGACUGGUGACACUGGUUUUGACCUGAGUUCGUCAAGACUCAGGUUAGGUCUCCAUCUCAGUGUCUCUGCCUCUUCCUUUUGGUCUCUACUCAGGCUCUCGUGUUCGUCAACGACACAACAGUAAUAUCCUUCUUCGAUGAGGCUUGUGGAUGCUUCCUUUCUGCCAUUUCCUCCUCCAAUCGGUUCAGAUUCGCAUUUAUUUCCUAUUUUGCAAAAAAGAAAAGUAAGCCCCCAAAUCUUCUCUGUCUCUUUCUCGCGUCGUAUAAGGUAAGUCGAGCUAACUAUCUCGCACUGUCUCUGUAAUAUGCUACUCGUGUAUUUCACGAGUGUGGCUCCUAGCUUUGAAUUUUCUAGAUGAGUUUUGAAUAUGUCAUCUCGUAUUUGCAAGAUUUGGGAGGUCUAUUUACAAGCAGCUUGAUGAAUUGAUUUGGAGUUUCGUAGGAGAUUAGUGGACUUGCCUUUAAUCUUUCUACAAGGUUUCAAACCUGGGAUUGUUUCCAGUGACCAUGUUUUUGCAAUUAUAAACCCCCCAUAGGUACUCUCUUGUGCUCUGUUUCUCUGGAAAAUAUUCAAGAAUUUAUUGGUCACCUGCUGCAAUAAUCUCUUGGUAGCCCAAAACCAGUAGACACAUGUCAUUCUUGACGACUCAUUGCAGAAGUGUCUUACAUUGAGAUCCAACUGAAUGAUUCUUACAUAAGUGCCAUUUGGAUUAAGACUUUUUGAAUCUUUGUUCUUUGUUUCAGCUACAAGAGACUGAAACUGCCUAGUGUCCUGGUCAACAAGGAUAAGUUUUUCCAACAUGCUUCCUUUCUUCUUGAUGUCUGACAUUCUCUAUUUAUGCAAUGCUUCUUGAUUUAGUCAUUGACAUGUAAUAAAUUUCUGAGGAUAUAUCUAUGCAGUUCAAGAAUUUUUAGCUGCCCUUGUAAUACUUGGUGUCAAAUUGCUUUCAUGCGUACCAGCUGCAGCUGCAGCAUCAACAUUCACACGAUUCAUUUCGCAAAUCAAGGCAAGAUAAUGAAGUGGUGAUAUUUAUGAGGAUGAGGAAGAGGAAGAGGAGGGAGGUGAAAAUGAGAAUGAUGAAUAGGAUUGAAUUUCUUUAAGUUAAGUUAUUUAAUUGAAUCUUAUGAUAAAUUGAUGAAAUACUAUUUGAUGUAUUGGAUUAUUUGUUGAAAUACUAUUUGAUGUGGUUUUAGAUUCGUGA
Long non-coding RNA from Tripterygium wilfordii, 1302 nucleotides. RefSeq lists it as uncharacterized. The record is from RefSeq and is a predicted model, not a curated record. The transcript has 2 exons. Lineage: Eukaryota; Viridiplantae; Streptophyta; Magnoliopsida; Celastrales; Celastraceae.